GGAGCAGCUUCUAGAGAGACCGCUUAUUCGCGGCGCCGAAGGAUUCACAAUCUCAGGCAAAAGGACAGAAGAGAACGU
This 78-nucleotide non-coding RNA is filed under the name Bacillus sp. (in: firmicutes). RNAcentral describes it as "Bacillus sp. Glycine sequence". It matches the Rfam family "Glycine riboswitch aptamer". Rfam says of the family: This family represents the bacterial glycine riboswitch. Glycine riboswitches usually consist of two metabolite-binding aptamers domains with similar structures in tandem. RNAcentral also lists the same sequence under 1 other name. The record is from RNAcentral. Lineage: Bacteria; Bacillati; Bacillota; Bacilli; Caryophanales; Bacillaceae.